Molecule: ribosomal RNA, 497 nt
Filed under: uncultured bacterium
Lineage: Bacteria
Description: partial 16S ribosomal RNA
Rfam family: Bacterial small subunit ribosomal RNA
Source: RNAcentral
GAUGAACGCUGGCGGCGUGCCUAAUACAUGCAAGUCGAGCGAACAGACGAGGAGCUUGCUCCUCUGACGUUAGCGGCGGACGGGUGAGUAACACGUGGAUAACCUACCUAUAAGACUGGGAUAACUUCGGGAAACCGGAGCUAAUACCGGAUAAUAUAUUGAACCGCAUGGUUCAAUAGUGAAAGACGGUUUUGCUGUCACUUAUAGAUGGAUCCGCGCCGCAUUAGCUAGUUGGCAAGGUAACGGCUUACCAAGGCAACGAUGCGUAGCCGACCUGAGAGGGUGAUCGGCCGCACUGGAACUGAGACACGGUCCAGACUCCUACGGGAGGCAGCAGUAGGGAAUCUUCCGCAAAGGGCGAAAGCCUGACGGAGCAACGCCGCGUGAGUGAUGAAGGUCUUCGGAUCGUAAAACUCUGUUAUUAGGGAAGAACAAAUGUGUAAGUAACUAUGCACGUCUUGACGGUACCUAAUCAGAAAGCCACGGCUAACUACGUG